This is a non-coding RNA of Dipodomys ordii (Ord's kangaroo rat), 73 nucleotides long. NCBI's taxonomy places the organism in Eukaryota, Metazoa, Chordata, Mammalia, Rodentia, Heteromyidae. The record is from Rfam.
GGGAAAGUGGCUCAGUGGUAGAGUGCUUGCCUUGCAUGAAAGAGGCCCUGAGUUCAAUUCCUCAGCACCACCU